This 477-nucleotide ribosomal RNA is filed under the name uncultured bacterium. RNAcentral describes it as "bacterial SSU rRNA". It matches the Rfam family "Bacterial small subunit ribosomal RNA", at positions 28 to 508 of the family's 1533-position model. The record is from RNAcentral.
GACGAACGCUGGCGGCGUGCCUAACACAUGCAAGUCGAGCGGGAACCUCAGGAGGGGUAACCCUUCUGAGGGGAGAGCGGCGAACGGGUGAGUAACACGUGGGCAACCUGCCCCGGACACCGGGAUAACCCAGGGAAACCUGAGCUAAUACCGGAUACUCCGGCGUGAUCGCAUGGUCGCGCCGGGAAAGCUCCGACGGUCCGGGAUGGGCCCGCGGCCUAUCAGCUUGUUGGUGGGGUAACGGCCCACCAAGGCGACGACGGGUAGCUGGUCUGAGAGGACGGCCAGCCACACUGGGACUGAGACACGGCCCAGACUCCUACGGGAGGCAGCAGUGGGGGAUCUUGCGCUAAUGCGCGAAAGCGUGACGCAGCGACGCCGCGUGGGGGAUGAAGGCCCUCGGGUUGUAAACCCCUUUCGGCAGGGACGAAGGGAAACUGACGGUACCUGCAGAAGAAGUCCCGGCUAACUACGUGC